CUGACUCGUAAGCAGAAUACAGAAGAGAAGACACAACUGAACAUCUGUGGCUAUUGACAUGCAUUUGCUUUAUUCAGUGAAAGUAGUUAGGUUGUUUUUAAGCAAUUUUAUCUUCCUAGAGUCUAUCGAAUAUUGAGUGAGUGUAUAGAUGAACUUACUAAUUUGUUUCUUGUUUUGAUUAUCAGUGAAGAUACAUUUAUGCUUGAGGUAUCUUAUGUGGGGAUGUGAUAAGCGUCUUUGAGCCUUUCAGAUUGUGACUCUUGGUGAUUUUAGAUGAAGAUCGUUGAGGACUGUCGUGGUAUGCAAUAAUUAGUGGUAGAAAAUAUGAUAUUGUCCAUAUAUGUAAUGAGUGGAGGGGAUCAAUGUAUCAUUUUUUAAAGAAGUCUUUUAUUAAGAACCUCAGCUGUAAUGAUAUUUUCAUGUUAU
This 426-nucleotide long non-coding RNA is filed under the name Bos taurus (domestic cattle). Its description in RNAcentral is "long non-coding RNA NONBTAT012633". Lineage: Eukaryota; Metazoa; Chordata; Mammalia; Artiodactyla; Bovidae. The record is from RNAcentral.